AAGAGCAGUGACCGUUGGCACAGCCUCCCUGUGGAUUCCUCCCAGAAGCUGUGGGGGGAGGGGACUGGGCGAAACAUCCAGUCACUGCUUUCUCUUCUCCUGUUGAACAACUGGUCGGUCCUUCCCGAAAUGGGUGUCCAUUCCUCCAAAGUUGCACCCCAAGGGGGGUUCGAGCAAGGGGAGGCUUCAGGGGUUCAGAGGCCAGAGCAGGAGGACUGGCCCGAGCCAUGGUCUGAGAGCAGAGCAGAUCCUGAGGCGGCAACUGGGCCCCAGCAGCUCCCCGCCUCCGCGGGGCACCCAGAGCAGGUCCUGGAUUCCAGUGAGGGGCAGGAGCCCGACCAGAGCCAGGCUUUGGGGCCUUCCUCAGACCCACCCCGACAGCCGUCUGAGAGAGGGGAUUCACCGGUCCCGGAAGCCCAGGGGCAGCAGCCACCCCCUGGGAGGCCCCGCUGCCACACCAACCGCCUGGAGCAGCCCCUCGCCCGGGGCUUCCAGAGGAUGGGGCUGGCAGUGGGCUCGCACCCCUGGCUCUUCCUGCUGGCGCCCCUGGUGCUGACGGCUGUCCUGGGUACCGGUUGACGUACCUGCACAGGGAGACUGAAGAGAACCUGGAGGAGCAGUACACCUCUUUGGGUAGCCCCGGCAAAGCCGAGCUGCACUUCGUGCAGGCACAUUUCUCCAAUAACGAGUUCCACCUCUUCUCCCCGUUGUGGUCCAGUGCGGAGGUCAACUUUGCCUCCAUCCUGGUGAUGUCCAACACUACCAAUCUGCUGGAUCAAGUCAUCUUCUCAGAAAUGAGUCAACUGGACGAGGCAGUGCAGACGCUGACUGCGCCUUGGGAAGAUGGAACCCAGGUCCUCUACCCUCAGGUGUGUGCCAGGUACCAGAGCACCUGCAUGCCCUCCAACCCACUCCUGUUCAUCUGGCAGAAGAAUAACAUCAUGGACCUGAAAAGCAUCACUUUCCCUAUUUACAACACCUCCGCUGCUCCCCUCUACUUGGCCAACCUCUUGGGAGGAACAGUCCUAGGUCCGGGCGCAGGGACAAGCCGCUUACUCCUGUAAGCCAAGACCAUGCGGCUGCAGUACUACCUGAAGACCGCAGACCCCGAGGAAAGCCCGUGCAGCCAGAAGUGGCUUCUCGAGUUCCUGGACCAAAUUCACGUCAUUGAAAAGUGCUUGGCCUUGAAGAACAUCCAGGUGGUCUAAUUCACAUCACUUUCUAGGAAACUUGAAUUUGAGGCGAGUGCUAGGACAGUGGUCCCUUUCUUUUACACGGCAUACCUUCUGAUCAUAUUAUCUGCCAUCAUAUCAUGCUACAGGGAUCUGCUAUGAAAAGAAGAAGAGCACUACAGGAGUGGUGUUCAAGUGAAGCAGCAGCUGGAGUCCACACUGUCAGCAGUAGCUGUGGAACUGAGAGCUCUAAGAAGUGAUUUAAU
Long non-coding RNA from Talpa occidentalis (Iberian mole), 1438 nucleotides. RefSeq lists it as uncharacterized. The record is from RefSeq and is a predicted model, not a curated record. The transcript is spliced from 3 exons. Lineage: Eukaryota; Metazoa; Chordata; Mammalia; Eulipotyphla; Talpidae.